GACGAACGCUGGCGGCGUGCUUAACACAUGCAAGUCGAGCGGUAAGGCCCUUUCGGGGGUACACGAGCGGCGAACGGGUGAGUAACACGUGGGUGACCUGCCCUCAGCUCUGGGAUAAGCCCGGGAAACUGGGUCUAAUACCGGAUAUGACUCCACGGUGCAUGUCGUGGGGUGGAAAGCCUUGUGCGGCUGAGGAUGGGCCCGCGGCCUAUCAGCUUGUUGGUGGGGUGAUGGCCUACCAAGGCGACGACGGGUAGCCGGCCUGAGAGGGCGACCGGCCACACUGGGACUGAGACACGGCCCAGACUCCUACGGGAGGCAGCAGUGGGGAAUCUUGCGCAAUGGGCGAAAGCCUGACGCAGCGACGCCGCGUGAGGGAUGACGGCCUGG
This 390-nucleotide ribosomal RNA is filed under the name uncultured bacterium. RNAcentral's name for it is "bacterial SSU rRNA". It matches the Rfam family "Bacterial small subunit ribosomal RNA", at positions 28 to 419 of the family's 1533-position model. The record is from RNAcentral.